CCUGCCCAUAAGACUGGGAUAACCCACGGAAACGUGAGCUAAUACCAAAUAGGCAUCUUCUUCGCAUGAGGGAGAUGAGAAAGACGGUUUCGGCUGUCACUUAUGGAUGGACCUGCGGCGCAUUAUCUAGUUGGUGAGGUAACGGCUCCCCAGGGCGACGAUGCCUACCCGACCUGAGAGGGUGAUCGGCCACACUGGGACUGAGACACGGCCCAGACUCCUACGGGAGGCAGGAGUAGGGAAUCUUCCGCAAUGGGCGAAAGCCUGACGGAGCCACCCCGCGAGAGUGAUGAAGGUUUUCGGAUCGAAAAGCUCUGUUGCCAAGGAAGAACGCUCAGGAGAGUAACUGCUCUUGAGGUGACGGUACUUGAGAAGAAAGCCCCGGCUAACUACGUGCCC
RNAcentral lists this ribosomal RNA (399 nucleotides) under Paenibacillus sp. SCW-1. RNAcentral's name for it is "bacterial SSU rRNA". It matches the Rfam family "Bacterial small subunit ribosomal RNA", at positions 125 to 510 of the family's 1533-position model. The record is from RNAcentral. Lineage: Bacteria; Bacillati; Bacillota; Bacilli; Caryophanales; Paenibacillaceae.